This 90-nucleotide ribosomal RNA is filed under the name Dasypus novemcinctus (nine-banded armadillo). Lineage: Eukaryota; Metazoa; Chordata; Mammalia; Cingulata; Dasypodidae. The record is from RNAcentral.
GACUGAAGUCACUCAUCUCUGACUAGGCUGGGUCAGGCCUGGUCAGUAUUUGGAUGGGAGACAGUCUGGGAAUGUCAGGUACUUUUGCUA